This is a non-coding RNA of Dermacentor albipictus, 935 nucleotides long. The record is from RefSeq and is a predicted model, not a curated record. NCBI's taxonomy places the organism in Eukaryota, Metazoa, Arthropoda, Arachnida, Ixodida, Ixodidae.
CAUGCGUAAGCCGUCACGAUGUGACAUACCUAAGCUCCUCAACUUUUACCAGUGGGCCUGCGGGUCCGUCGACAGUGCAGUAGUCAUCGAUCAAACGCAGUGCCCGGUGCUCCUCUGGGGCUAGAAUUCGACAUCGGACGCGACACGUGUUCGUCGCUAAAAAACACCUGAUUGCCGGUUUUAUUCGGGGCAUCACGAUUGUCCCUGCGUCAGUUCCGAUUCGACCACUUCGGCGGCAAUUUCCGGGUGUGUCUGGACAGUUCGCCGGGGCCGCCUGAAAGCGGGGCUUCCGGUGGUGACUUCCCCCUCUGACAGCUGAAUUGCACAGUGCCCAUCGGCAGGCCGGCUGUCACAGCGGAAUCAUACGCCCCCGUGAAAAGUGAAUUACUCGAAGAGACGGAUAUGUCUUGCAAGACAAAUGGUGAUAUCAAUUUAGCUGUGUAGAAAUGUUGCAGACGUCAUUUUUUGAGCAAUCAAUUUAGGCGCAUGUGUAGGCUCAUCAGCACAACAACGUCACUUUCGGCACAUCAGGGGUACGAGCCACUGCUUCUGGCCUGCACAGUCGCCGGGAUCGGCCCUCAUUUUUGCUAACGGACGCGGACACGAAAGAUGAUGGCCACUGAGAGGCUACCAGCUUCGCUGUGAAAAGCAGUGAGACGAAGCCACCAGGAAGUUAUAUCGCAUCUCCCUUGCCUAUGCACACAUCCUGCUUAGAAACGAACGAACGGCCCCUGUACCGUGUUGUGAAGCGUCCGUGCAGAGUUCGAAAGGCUCCUUGAAGUCGGGUAGCACAGCCGCAGGAUCCGACGAUAUGGCUUCAACAAGGGCUGUGAACAUCACCAGACCUGUGCACUGGAGCAACCUUGCCCACCUUACAGUCAUCGGGGAGCGUACCAAUCUGCAAAGAUUGGGUAAAGAUCUCUGACAGCGUACAA